This 570-nucleotide ribosomal RNA is filed under the name Bacillus pumilus. RNAcentral describes it as "bacterial SSU rRNA". It matches the Rfam family "Bacterial small subunit ribosomal RNA", at positions 95 to 650 of the family's 1533-position model. Lineage: Bacteria; Bacillati; Bacillota; Bacilli; Caryophanales; Bacillaceae. The record is from RNAcentral.
GCGGCGGACGGGUGAGUAACACGUGGGUAACCUGCCUGUAAGACUGGGAUAACUCCGGGAAACCGGAGCUAAUACCGGAUAGUUCCUUGAACCGCAUGGUUCAAGGAUGAAAGACGGUUUCGGCUGUCACUUACAGAUGGACCCGCGGCGCAUUAGCUAGUUGGUGAGGUAACGGCUCACCAAGGCGACGAUGCGUAGCCGACCUGAGAGGGUGAUCGGCCACACUGGGACUGAGACACGGCCCAGACUCCUACGGGAGGCAGCAGUAGGGAAUCUUCCGCAAUGGACGAAAGUCUGACGGAGCAACGCCGCGUGAGUGAUGAAGGUUUUCGGAUCGUAAAGCUCUGUUGUUAGGGAAGAACAAGUGCAAGAGUAACUGCUUGCACCUUGACGGUACCUAACCAGAAAGCCACGGCUAACUACGUGCCAGCAGCCGCGGUAAUACGUAGGUGGCAAGCGUUGUCCGGAAUUAUUGGGCGUAAAGGGCUCGCAGGCGGUUUCUUAAGUCUGAUGUGAAAGCCCCCGGCUCAACCGGGGGAGGGUCAUUGGAAACUGGGAAACUUGAGUGCA